GACGAACGCUGGCGGCGUGCUUAACACAUGCAAGUCGAACGGAAAGGCCCUUCGGGGUACUCGAGUGGCGAACGGGUGAGUAACACGUGGGUGAUCUGCCCUGCACUUUGGGAUAAGCCUGGGAAACUGGGUCUAAUACCGAAUAGGACCACGCGCUUCAUGGUGUGUGGUGGAAAGCUUUUGCGGUGUGGGAUGGGCCCGCGGCCUAUCAGCUUGUUGGUGGGGUAAUGGCCUACCAAGGCGACGACGGGUAGCCGGCCUGAGAGGGUGACCGGCCACACUGGGACUGAGAUACGGCCCAGACUCCUACGGGAGGCAGCAGUGGGGAAUAUUGCACAAUGGGCGCAAGCCUGAUGCAGCGACGCCGCGUGAGGGAUGACGGCCUUCGGGUUGUAAACCUCUUUCAAUAGGGACGAAGCGCAAGUGACGGUACCUAUAGAAGAAGCACCAGCCAACUACGUG
Molecule: ribosomal RNA, 462 nt
Filed under: uncultured bacterium
Lineage: Bacteria
Description: partial 16S ribosomal RNA
Rfam family: Bacterial small subunit ribosomal RNA
Source: RNAcentral